Long non-coding RNA from Heterocephalus glaber (naked mole-rat), 4662 nucleotides. The record is from Ensembl. Lineage: Eukaryota; Metazoa; Chordata; Mammalia; Rodentia; Bathyergidae.
GCGUGUUUACAGUAUUAAAAGGGAGGGGGUGGCCUAUCGUCCAGGAGCUCAGCCUACUGUGUUACAUCUGAAAGACCCUAAUACAGUAAAAGUACUCUGAGAAUCACAAAGAGGUCUGCCCUUUCUUUUUAACUUCUGUCCUGAGCUUAACCUAAAAUCCCAAAGAGGUAAGUACUUGACCUAUUCUUACAGCUAGGCAGCAAAUUAUAUAACUCAGGGUGCUGAGUUAUUGGCUUACAGAUCCUUAACUACUCCCCGCACCAGCGAGCUUGUAGUCUGUGGGCUUCACCAGCAGAAAUACAGUUUCAGAGCGAGAGAGUUCAUGCUUGGAAACUCGAAUGCAUCCCUUUUGCACUUCUUGAAGGUGCUGAGGGAAGGGUUUCUCGAAGAGGGCACCAGGAUGGGGACCAGUGGGGAGAGACCCAGGAAGAGCAAGGGUUGUUUAAAAAGAAAAAAAGAGCCAAGGAUUUAGCUCAGUGGCAUCGCACCUGCCUCGAAAGUGCAAGGCCCUUAGUUCGAUCCCCGGUACCACACACACACAGAACAAGAAAGUAUUACACACACACACAAACACACACACACACACACACACACACACACACACGGGAAACAAGGGCUGAGUAGUUGCUUCUGUUAAAUUGGAGAAGUGGAAAUGUACUUGGCAGGAGGAGGCUGCGUGGCUUGCAUUUGGAUCCCCAAAGUCUCAUGCGUUCACAGCGGGGCUGUUCGAGGUGAGUGGACUGCAAACUGCUGCUCCCUAGUACGGGAGCUGGGGCUGGUGACAGGCGGUAGGGAGGUCCUGCCUUCCUGGCUUCUCCCCGCGGUUCCCUGGUUGCCAAGAUGUGAGCACUUUUCUCCCUAGACCCUUCCACCGUACCUUCCUGCGUUGGGCUCAGCCAGCUAUGAACUAAAAGCGUGAGUCAAAAUCAGCCUGUGCUCCUUUAAGUUGCCUGUGUCGGGAGUGACAUGGACAGAGACAGAGAUGAUAGCUGCCCUGCUGCAGGUCAAGGACAGACGGGCAGGCACCAGGCAGAAAGAACAAGUGCCGUGUUGGCCCCUCGUGUUCCCAGUCACCUGUCCCCACUCUGCCUCUGCUGAAAGUGACAGAGCCAGAGCAGGGCUCAGCCCUGCUGCCCUGGCGGGCCCAGCAGCAAGCUGAGAAGACAGAGUCUCUUCAGGAAGAAUUUUACCCUGAGCAAAGCUUCAUGGCCACAUCUGCCCAGAGGUUUACAAAGCACGGAAGAAGUGCACAUUUUGCAGGCUGAAGAAAGCAUGGGGCAGCAGGCAGGUCCUGGUGUUUUGCUGGAUCCCAUCUGAGCCACGAUGCUUAUUUUGUCAUCUUGAAAACCACCAGUAAUAGAGGAGAUUCAAGCAGACGCUGAUUCUCAAUGUCCACCUUUGUCACAGAUGGGAUGCAUGAAUGUCUGUUCUGCAUUUAUGCUCUUACUAUCGGUCACAAUCUGUGUGUGUGAAGUCUUUUGCAGAAACAUCACGGCAACGCAGAAGUUCAAAGAAAAGCUCCAUCAAACUUGAUGGACUGAUGAGACUCUUACUUCUCAGCAAGCUUAAAGCGUUGUAAAAUGUCUUUCGAAGAUCUGGCUCUAAGACAGUGUAACUGUAGGAGAGAAGAUCCUUCAGCUCAUGAGGAAAGUUACUUAGAUGUCCAGGUAGCAGUGACCAAUCUGGGCCAUAAACACCACCAGCUCUGCCAGUCCUCUGCUGGGUUUACUUGGUUGUAACUUGAAAACCUCCACACUGGAUCAGAUGCGUAACUGCAGUGGGUUGCUGGGCAGCUUGUUGUUGUUCCUGCUGGACACAUUGGCCAAAGACCGGCUGUUCGAGGAGCGCUUCCAGAAAGGCUUGCACGCACUGCGGCUGGACUCCAGCUCCUGAGCCUAGCUUGAAACGGCACGUGGGUGCAGCCAGCAGGAAGGGCCGCAUUGACUUCUAAACUGUGUUCGCUUAUUGGCCUCUGUUCAAAACUAGACUGGUGAAAUCUAAAUCUUACAGCCUAUAGAGAUCAACGGUCCUCUUACAAAUGAAAUGCCACAUUGAUCUCUUGAAAGCCUGCCAAAUGUUUACUUACAUGGAAUAGAUAUUAUGGCUUAAUCUUUACUGCAUUUUUUUCCUGAUGAUGUCUGUGGUCUCUGAAGGGUUUUUUGAAACAAGGUCUUGCUGUCUAGUCCAGCAUGGCCUCAAACUCCUUAUGUAGCCCAGGCUGACUCCAACAUGUGGUCCUCCUCCCUCAGCCUCCCAAGAGCCAGGAUUACAAGUGUGCACCACCAUACUCAAGGGCUCUAAUUGUGAAACUAUUUUUAUUGAAAUGAAUAAUGAUUUUCUUGUUUCCAAAGAAACUUUUCCCGAAAGGAAAAGUAGUUAAAUGAUAUUUUAAAUUAGAAGAUGAAAACAAAGAUUGCCGGGAGCAUGUAUUUUCCCUAAUAAGACAUAAAGGCAUAUUCGCAUAGUAGUUAAGGGCAUGAAUUAUGGUGCCAUGCUGCAUAGCUUUAAAUCCCAGAUUUGCUGCUUAUAAACUGUAUGAUCUUAGACAUGUCAUGUAAUUUCUCUAAACUUUAGCUUUUCUUAUCUGUAAAAGGGGACAAAUGGUUCCUGCCUCACAGGGUCAUCAUGAAGCUGGGUGUGGUGCGCACGCACCAGGCAGCGGCACCACUGAACUAAAUCCCCAGAUCACCCUAGUUCUAAUAUUGGCUCUUCUGCCUCUACUUUAGACUAGAUUAUUCCAUGGACAGACAGUUUGAGUUGCCCAAAGAAUCCCUAUUAUUGAGCUAAAGUCUAGCUUAAGAUGAAGGAUUGUUUAACUCUGAAGGACAUUAAGAAUUUUUAAUGUCCUAUAUAAAUCCUUACACUAGGAAAUCAAAGAUAGAUGCUACACCUUGCUUUUAUUCCUACUUGUGGGAUAGCAGAUAAUUUAUUUGUUUUAACAAGCACUUCUGGUGGUGUGUGCCUGUAAUCCCAGCCACUUGAGAGGCUGAGGCAGGAGGAUUACUUGAGCCUAGGGGCUCAGAAGCAGCUGGGCAACACAGUGAGACACCCUGUUUUUUUAAAAAACAAAACAUUUCUAAGGAAAGAUGCUUGUUUGCUGUGUGCAACAACCAGCAGUUGACUAGAACCUGUUACUAAUUUAUUCCCAAACUCCAGCCGAUUUUGGUUAUGCUCCACUGGGCAUUCGUAACCCUGAAGAGCUAGAAUGAAUUGUCCAGGACACUGAGCAGGGGCCACCUGCCUCAUCAGGGAGAGAGCAGCCAACUGGCACCUAGGGCCUGAAUCAGUGGGGAAGGAAACCACAGAGCCCUUCAGGAUCAAUCUUCAUUUUUCUUUGUCGUCCGAGCUACAAAGAGGCACUGAGGCAUUGCAGAAGCAUAAAUCUUUAAAAAUCUGCAGUGUUAGUCACUCUGCCUUAUUAUAACCCCACUGUGCCUGUGCUUUGUAGGAAAGACUAAAAUCUAGCUGGCCCAGCCCCCACCUAGUAAGCUUGUGAACUCUCAUCAUAAAACAUAGGGCAAUCAAAUCCUCUUGUAGGAGAUGAAUGGAGGACGAGAGGAGCCCAUUCGCCUGCGUAGUAAUCAUUCUCUCCAACCUCCAAGGGAUGCAGCAGGGUGGGAAUGUAAGGAAGACAGCCCUUUGUUUGGCUGGGUGCAGCCGCACUCACCCUGUCUGCAAAGGGCCUCUUCAUGGGAGAUCUUUCAAAAUUACAAAAUGCAGGGCUGGGGAUUUAGCUCAGAGGUUUCGCCGCCUGCUGUGCAAGUGCAAGGUCCCAAGUUCGAUCCCUGGUACCAAAAAAAAAAAAAAUUACAAAAUCCACAAUGACAUUAGUCUAGCUUCUGCUUUAAAGUGAAAAAUGUCACAAAGCUAAUAUUAUAUGGUUCUAUAAAGAAAAACAUACAUGAGCUCUGUUUCAAGGGCCUGUAAAGUCCCCUCUCCAUUAUUUCCAUUUUGUUUUAUUUAUUUGUUUAUUUAUUUUUUGGUACUGGGAUCGAUCUUGGGACCUUGCGCUUGCGAGGCAGGUGGCAGAACCACUGAGCUAAAUCCCCGCCCCUGUUAUUUCUAUUUUAAAUUACUAUGUAUACUCCAUUUGAUUUUAAGGGAAAAAUAUGCUCUUACAAGCUAGAUGUUUUUCAGGAAUUUGGAGAUGUCUGAUGAGAUGGUAAUAAAAUAACAGCUGAAAGCAAUGAGAAACGCUCAUACAUAGCAAUUUUCCCAGCUGUUUUUGCUCUUUUCUCUUUUAUACCCAGGCGAUUUCUGGCUUUUUCUUCAGCACUGAUUCGAAAUCAAUACUCCAGGAGAUCUGGCUUCUGUUGUCCUAAAGGAAAUCCCUUCUCGCCAGGGUGAACCUAGCGUAGCUGGCGCACCAUGGUCUCUGCUGCAGCAGAAGGUGCCAGAGCCUUCUGGGACAUUUUUCUGAUAAUUCCAUAAAUCCCUGACCCGAUGGGUUUUAAAAAUUGAGGUGAUAUUUACAUAAUAUAUCAGUCAUUUUUAAGUGAAUGAUUCAGGACAUUUGGUAUAUUUACAGUGUUGUACAGCGCCUCCAUCUCAUUCCAAAACAUGGCCUUCACUCCAAAAUAAAACCCCACACCCACUGAAUAGUCAGUCACUCCCCACCCCUGGCAGCCCCCAGUCUGCGUUCUGUCCCAGUGGACUUUGGAA